This 85-nucleotide transfer RNA is filed under the name Felis catus (domestic cat). It matches the Rfam family "tRNA". From Rfam's summary of the family: Transfer RNA (tRNA) molecules are approximately 80 nucleotides in length. Their secondary structure includes four short double-helical elements and three loops (D, anti-codon, and T loops). The record is from Rfam by way of RNAcentral. Lineage: Eukaryota; Metazoa; Chordata; Mammalia; Carnivora; Felidae.
ACCUGGGUGGCUCAGUCGGUUGGGCGUCUGACUUCGGCUCAGGUCAUGAUCUCACAGUUUGUGGGUUCUAGACCCGCUUCAGGCU